AUUGAACGCUGGCGGCAGGCUUAACACAUGCAAGUCGAGCGGUAACAUUUCUAGCUUGCUAGAAGAUGACGAGCGGCGGACGGGUGAGUAAUACUUAGGAAUCUACCUAGUAGUGGGGGAUAGCUCGGGGAAACUCGAAUUAAUACCGCAUACGACCUAUGGGAGAAGGGGGGCAACUUGUUGCUCUCGCUAUUAGAUGAGCCUAAGUCGGAUUAGCUAGAUGGUGGGGUAAAGGCCUACCAUGGCGACGAUCUGUAGCUGGUCUGAGAGGAUGAUCAGCCACACCGGGACUGAGACACGGCCCGGACUCCUACGGGAGGCAGCAGUGGGGAAUAUUGGACAAUGGGGGAAACCCUGAUCCAGCCAUGCCGCGUGUGUGAAGAAGGCCUUUUGGUUGUAAAGCACUUUAAGCAGUGAAGAAGACUCUUCGGUUAAUACCCGGAGACGAUGACAUUAGCUGCAGAAUAAGCACCGGCUAACUCUGUGCCAGCAGCCGCGGUAAUACAGAGGGUGCAAGCGUUAAUCGGAAUUACUGGGCGUAAAGCGAGCGUAGGUGGCUUGAUAAGUCAGAUGUGAAAUCCCCGGGCUUAACCUGGGAACUGCAUCUGAUACUGUUAGGCUAGAGUAGGUGAGAGGAAGGUAGAAUUCCAGGUGUAGCGGUGAAAUGCGUAGAGAUCUGGAGGAAUACCGAUGGCGAAGGCAGCCUUCUGGCAUCAUACUGACACUGAGGCUCGAAAGCGUGGGUAGCAAACAGG
RNAcentral lists this ribosomal RNA (755 nucleotides) under uncultured Psychrobacter sp. RNAcentral's name for it is "bacterial SSU rRNA". It matches the Rfam family "Bacterial small subunit ribosomal RNA", at positions 28 to 776 of the family's 1533-position model. Lineage: Bacteria; Pseudomonadati; Pseudomonadota; Gammaproteobacteria; Moraxellales; Moraxellaceae. The record is from RNAcentral.